This 249-nucleotide ribosomal RNA is filed under the name uncultured bacterium. RNAcentral describes it as "partial 16S ribosomal RNA". It matches the Rfam family "Bacterial small subunit ribosomal RNA", at positions 113 to 353 of the family's 1533-position model. The record is from RNAcentral.
ACGCGUAGGUAACCUGCCUUGUAGCGGGGGAGUAACUAUUGGAAACGAUAGCUAAUACCGCAUAACAAUGGAUGACACAUGUCAUUUAUUUUGAAAGGGGCAAUUGCUCCACUACAAGAUGGACCUGCGUUGUAUUAGCUAGUAGGUGAGGUAAUGGCUCACCUAGGCGACGAUACAUAGCCGACCUGAGAGGGUGAUCGGCCACACUGGGACUGAGACACGGCCCAGACUCCUACGGGAGGCAGCAUG